ACUCCUACGGGAGGCAGCAGUAGGGAAUAUUGGACAAUGGGCGAAAGCCUGAUCCAGCAAUGCCGCGUGAGUGAUGAAGGCCUUAGGGUUGUAAAGCUCUUUUACCCGGAUGGAUAAUGACAGUACCGGGAGAAUAAGCUCCGGCUAACUCCGUGCCAGCAGCCGCGGUAAUACGGAGGGAGCUAGCGUUGUUCGGAAUUACUGGGCGUAAAGCGCACGUAGGCGGCUAUUCAAGUCAGAGGUGAAAGCC
This 250-nucleotide ribosomal RNA is filed under the name uncultured bacterium. RNAcentral describes it as "partial 16S ribosomal RNA". It matches the Rfam family "Bacterial small subunit ribosomal RNA", at positions 335 to 602 of the family's 1533-position model. The record is from RNAcentral.